UAAAUAAGAAAUAACAUAUAUAUAUAUGUUAUUUGAGAGCUACCUGUUCUCAUUAUGUGUUAUUUCCUAACCAGUAUUUUACCAAGAACUGUCAGUAUGGUGGGAGGGGUGGUAUAAUGGCAGCAAAUUGGAAAAGAAACUACAACAAUUGGACCUCCUAUGCAAAAUUUUACCUAGCCAGAAGGUAAUUACUUUUGAAAAAUAGCAAUGGACAGUCAUUUUCAUUCUUUUGCAGAGAGAAGAAAUUCUGUGUAUUAGUCUGUCAAAUUACUUAGGGAAAAGUGAAAAUGUUUUUCUAAUCUGAGACCACCACUUGUACUGUGAAACAAACUGGAUAACUAGUGAGGGUGAGGUUUAUUGACUAUAAUGCAGAAAGUGUUAAAGAUUUUGGUUAAAAUCUUUUAAAGGGAUGGAUUCUUAACUAGGAAGAUGCCACCAAAUCACUGUGAAGCUUUAAAAUGCAGAUGCCUCUGCCCCCUCCUUGCAGGUCCCCGGGACAGCCAGGAGCAGGGCGGUGGCAGAUGUAUUUUCAGGGGUCCCCAGGAGAUUCUGAUGCACAUACUUCUGCCCUCCCAGUCACUGCCCUCAAGUGGACAUUCAGACCAUUUUGAGAGCUGACCGAUUCUUCCUGCUGAUGCAGUGGGUCUGCGUGGGGCCCAAGAGUCUGCAUUUCUGAUGCCUGUGCUGCUGGUUCAAAGGAUGCAUGCACUGAGGGGCUCUGCUCCAGCGCACUAAGUGUGGUGUGCAUUUAAGUCUAGUGCUCAGAUAGUAUACACUCUCUCUCUAUGAAAAAGAUAACUGAAGCCAAGUUCUUAACAUGGAAUUUGUUUCUUUUCUUUUUUUUUGCUUUUUUCAGGGCCACACUCACAGCAUAUGGAUUAGACCCCAGGCAAGGGGUCUAAUCUGAGCUACAGCUGCCAACCUAUACCACAGCUCAUGGCAACGCUGGAUCCUUAACCCACUGAGCGAGGCCAGGGAUUGAACCCACAAACCUCAUGGUUCCUAGUCGGAUUCGUUUCCACUGUGCCACAACGGGAACUCCUAUUUCAUCUAUUUUUGUUACAUGUAACUUGUAUAGGAUGUUUAUGAGAACAAAAACACAGAACUUUUAAACAACUUUUCUGAAAAUACGUAACUAGAAUACUGCUAAAUUCUAAAUUAGAUUUUUUAAUGUACUUGUUAAGUAAAACCUAGCAACCAGUUUUCAUUUAUAAAAAAUUAGCUAUGAGAUGGAUAUCUGUUCUCUAUUAUUAGGUGUCUUAUGAUAGGACUAACCCCAUCCUUUGCCUCUUCUUUCUCUAAAUUAGCCUCUAGAGAAGAGAGAUUCUGCAUUCUCCUUUGCAAAGGAGUUGCUAAUGAAUUAAGAGCAAAGCAUAAUAACUAUUAAGGGGUGUGGAGCAUUAUUUACUCUCAGAUAACUGAGAAAGCCCAAAGCGGAUAGUAGGGGAGCUGGAAAAGUCUUGCCUUAGAAAAUAUACUGCAUCCGAAUGUGCCUGUUGCUUUUCUCAAGCCCAUUCAGUAUCCCUCAAAAAUAACAUUUUCAAACUUACAACAGCUCCAGGGUUCUGCCGAGUUCACUGAAAUAGAAUCAGCUCGGUUGUGCAUACAUUAACACUUGAGAACAUUAAUAUGAAGCUUGAAUCUCUCUAUCAGAAUUCCAUUUAACAGGACCAUCCUAAAGAAAAGCACCGAGAUCGUAUUUCUACCCAAGACAGGUACAGGCAGAGAUAUUCAUUAUCUACCUUGGCUCUCAACCAAUUUAUGAUUUGCAUUCUGAUGUAUAUCUAAAUGUUAAAUCCUCCACAGACAAGCUAAAUAAAGUAACCUACGUAAUAUUUAAAAUAUUCAAGAUAAUUUGACUACAGAAAACAUACCUCUCAUCUAAAAUCAAGAUGUUUUAAUAUAAGCAGAGAAAAAGCUCCAUACUUCAUUCAAAAUUUUAUAAAUUAGGACAUGUCCUAAUUCCCUUAAUCCUUGCCAGGAGUUAUUCAGAUAAACCAGUGACUGGACUUUAUUUUCCUUACUUAGAUAAGGAAAAAAGUGUCUCUCAGAAAAGUCAGGGUCUGGAAAUGUAUGCACAGUUGUAUAAAAUACACAAAUUAAGUCAAACGACUUGGAUGCUUUGUAUCUGUGUAACAGCUUUUUGCCAAUAAACUGACUCUUUCAUAUGGCUAUUUAAUGAAUCUUGUUUUUCCCAAAAUAAAAACUUACCUGCCCCCUUUGCUCUUUGGGAACUUACUCCUAUGUUCUGCAAACUUUUAAGUUUUAAGAGGAAGCGGAAAUUUAUAUAUUCCUCAGUUUUCAUUAUGUCCUCUUUUGUUCUAGGAAAACUGUCCCCCUCUUAUUUUCCUAAUUAUAAGUGUAUAUUCUAGCAGAUAGUUGGUUCCAACACAGUCAAUGAAUUAUCACUAACAUGGUAGGUAUGUUCAGUUAGCGAAUAAUGAUAAACUAAAUUUUAUACAGCACCUACUCUGUGCUGGGCACUGUUCUAAGCAUCUUACAUGUGUCAGCAUAUUUAAUCCUCAACAUCACUUUCUGUCACUGUGCCUCUUUACAGAGGACACAAAUGCACAGAGAGGUUAAAAGAUUCACCCAAGUUCUCUGCUGAUGAGAAACAGAGCUGUGUCCCCUCUCAGAGCUUCUUGGGGAAGAAGGGCCUCUGUGACAGGUGAUUUUAUCUGGAUCUUAAAUACCUUAUCUUCAAGAAUUGUUUUUUCAGAUGAAAAAAUUUUACCCAUUCUUAUAAGGUUAAUCUUCAGUCCUUUUGAAUGCACUUUACCAAUUCAUUUGAUUUUUACGUUAUUCCCACUUAUAACUGAAACACAAUAUAAACCUAUGUGUCAGUCUUAAGCAUUUUAAGUACCGGAUGUAAACACAAAAGAUUUGAUUUUGAAUCUGAUAAAUCACACCAAAAUUUCCAGCUCACUAAAAUCUUUUGAUAUGGUAAAUCUUCACCAAACCACCAACUGUGAUCGCUCUGUGAAAAUUAGUUUCAAUAGUGCCUUGGCACUUUGUAUCUUGACAGAGGCCAAUGUCAAUAUAAAUUGAAUUGUAAAAUACAUUUUAAAUGAUGUCUAUUGUGUUAUGUGCAUAUCUAUAACUUCUUCCAUUAAAAAGAAUGGAAGGUAGGAGUUCCCUUCAUGGCUCAGUGGUUAACAAGCCCAAUUAGGAUCUAUGAGAAUCUGGGUUAGAUCCCUGGCCCUGCUCAGUGGGUUAAGAAUCCAGCUCUGCCAUAAGCUGUGGUGUAGAUCACAGACUUGGCUCAGAUCCAGAGUUGCUGUGGCUGUGGUGUAGGAUGGCAGCUACAGCUCCAAUUCGACCCCUAGCCUGGGAACUUCCAUAUGCCGUGAGUGCAGCCCUAAAAAGCAAACAAAACAAAACAAAAAGGAACAGAAGGUAGUCAUAGAAAAUGUGUAGAAUAAAGAAUUUCUGAGACCUAUUUUAGCUAAAUAUUUGACAAAGUAAAAUUUCUGCCUAAUACUGCCUGUACUUGGCCUAAUGAUCUUGAAAAUUACUGAAAUUCAAACCAUGUUUUUGCAAUUGGUACUGUGUUUCCUUUGAUAACAUCCCAAACAUUCACUAUUAUCUUGAAGGAAGCCAUGCAUAGCAAAAGUCAUUGCUAAGCCCUUCUCACCUUUGUAAUUAAGAUAAAGAGAUGGAGUAAGUAGUCUUGUGGUAAUAGUUUAUGGGAAUAAUCGUUUAAGGGGAAUGCAUUGUAUAGAGUGCAUUAUGGGAGACUGACUCCUCCAGAUGGUUCUAGGAGUCAGUCUAAAAACUUCCUAAUGAGCUGAACCAUUUUUUUCUCAUUUGUGAUAUAUAAAUUCUAAAGAGAUGUGUAUUUUUUUAAUUAAAGUAUAGUUUAUUUACAAUGUUGUGUUACGUUUCUGGUGUACAGCACAGUGAUUAAGUCAUUCAUAUAUAUGUAUAUACACACACUCACACAUAUAUAUUCUUAUACCCACAUACUCUUUUUCAGAUUCUUUUCCUUUAUAGGCUAUUAAAAAUAUUGGGUAUAGUUAGUUACCUGUGCUAUACAGCAGGUCCUUGUUGGUUAUGUAUUUUAUAUACAGUAGUGUGUAUAUGUUAAUC
This 4089-nucleotide long non-coding RNA is filed under the name Sus scrofa (pig). RNAcentral describes it as "lncRNA (ENSSSCG00000062205.1)". Lineage: Eukaryota; Metazoa; Chordata; Mammalia; Artiodactyla; Suidae. The record is from RNAcentral.